AGACUAAGUGCCUUUUCAUCCAAAUGGAAUUCUGUGAUAAAGGGACCUUGGAACAAUGGAUUGAAAAAAGAAGAGGCGAGAAACUAGACAAAGUUUUGGCUUUGGAACUCUUUGAACAAAUAACAAAAGGGGUGGAUUAUAUACAUUCAAAAAAAUUAAUUCAUAGAGAUCUUAACCAAGUAAUAUAUUCUUAGUAGAUACAAAACAAGUAAAGAUUGGAGACUUUGGACUUGUAACAUCUCUGAAAAAUGAUGGAAAGCGAACAAGGAGUAAGGGAACUUUGCGAUACAUGAGCCCAGAACAAUUUCUUCGCAAGACUAUGGAAAGGAAGUGGACCUCUACGCUUUGGGGCUAAUUCUUGCUGAACUUCUUCAUGUAUGUGACACUGCUUUUGAAACAUCAAAUUUUUCACAGACCUACGGGAUGGCAUCAUCUCAGAUAUAUUUGAUAAAAAAGAA
This 458-nucleotide long non-coding RNA is filed under the name Homo sapiens (human). RNAcentral describes it as "non-protein coding lnc-HEATR5B-1:1". Lineage: Eukaryota; Metazoa; Chordata; Mammalia; Primates; Hominidae. The record is from RNAcentral.